RNAcentral lists this small nuclear RNA (106 nucleotides) under Salvator merianae (Argentine black and white tegu). The record is from RNAcentral. Lineage: Eukaryota; Metazoa; Chordata; Lepidosauria; Squamata; Teiidae.
CUGCUGAAGGUACAGCAUAUAUACUAAAAUUGGAACAAUACAGAGGAAAUUAGCAUGGUCCAUGGGCAAGGAUGAAAUGUAAAUUUGUAAAAUGUUCCAUUAAACA